UACGUAGGGUGCAAGCGUUGUCCGGAAUUAUUGGGCGUAAAGAGCUCGUAGGCGGCUUGUCGCGUCGACUGUGAAAACCCGUGGCUCAACCAUGUGGUCUGCAGUCGAUACGGGCAGGCUAGAAUUCGGUAGGGGAGACUGGAAUUCCUGGUGUAGCGGUGAAAUGCGCAGAUAUCAGGAAGAACACCCGUGGCUAAGGCGGCUCUCUAGUACGGUACUGACGCUGAGACGCGAAAGCGUGGGGAGCGAACAGG
This 254-nucleotide ribosomal RNA is filed under the name uncultured bacterium. RNAcentral's name for it is "partial 16S ribosomal RNA". It matches the Rfam family "Bacterial small subunit ribosomal RNA", at positions 524 to 776 of the family's 1533-position model. The record is from RNAcentral.